CAACGAUGAAGAACGCAGCGAAAUGCGAUACCUAGUGUGAAUUGCAGAAUUCCGCGAAUCAUCGAGUUUUUGAACGCAAGUUGCGCCCGAGGCUCGUCCCGAGGGCAUGCCCGCCUGAGCGUCCGC
This 126-nucleotide ribosomal RNA is filed under the name Acrolejeunea recurvata. RNAcentral describes it as "partial 5.8S ribosomal RNA". It matches the Rfam family "5.8S ribosomal RNA", at positions 31 to 154 of the family's 154-position model. Rfam says of the family: 5.8S ribosomal RNA (5.8S rRNA) is a component of the large subunit of the eukaryotic ribosome. RNAcentral also lists the same sequence under 1 other name. Lineage: Eukaryota; Viridiplantae; Streptophyta; Jungermanniopsida; Porellales; Lejeuneaceae. The record is from RNAcentral.